RNAcentral lists this ribosomal RNA (492 nucleotides) under uncultured bacterium. RNAcentral describes it as "partial 16S ribosomal RNA". It matches the Rfam family "Bacterial small subunit ribosomal RNA", at positions 29 to 507 of the family's 1533-position model. The record is from RNAcentral.
AGUGAACGCUGGCGGUAGGCCUAACACAUGCAAGUCGAACGGCAGCACAGUAAGAGCUUGCUCUUACGGGUGGCGAGUGGCGGACGGGUGAGGAAUACAUCGGAAUCUACUUUUUCGUGGGGGAUAACGUAGGGAAACUUACGCUAAUACCGCAUACGACCUACGGGUGAAAGCAGGGGAUCUUCGGACCUUGCGCGAUUGAAUGAGCCGAUGUCGGAUUAGCUAGUUGGCGGGGUAAAGGCCCACCAAGGCGACGAUCCGUAGCUGGUCUGAGAGGAUGAUCAGCCACACUGGAACUGAGACACGGUCCAGACUCCUACGGGAGGAAGCAGUGGGGAAUAUUAGACAAUGGGCGCAAGCCUGAUCCAGCCAUACCGCGUGGGUGAAGAAGGCCUUCGGGUUGUAAAGCCCUUUUGUUGGGAAAGAAAAGCAGCAGGUUAAUACCCCGCUGUUCUGACGGUACUCAAAGAAUAAGCACCGGCUAACUUCGUG